Long non-coding RNA from Triticum aestivum (bread wheat), 744 nucleotides. RefSeq lists it as uncharacterized. The record is from RefSeq and is a predicted model, not a curated record. The transcript has 2 exons. Lineage: Eukaryota; Viridiplantae; Streptophyta; Magnoliopsida; Poales; Poaceae.
UACAGAGUCUAGUACACGACCUCACAUCCCGAUUCACAGAAGCCACGGGCAGCCAAUCUCUCGUUCUCCCACUGCUAACCCUACCCGCCGCCUGCUGCUUCCCUCGAUGCGUGCCGUGCGCCCCUGAACGAAAACCGGCGCCCGAGCGGCGGCCCUAGCCGGUGAAGAACGGCGCCCCAGCGGCGGCCCUGGCAGGUGAAGACGGGCGCUGCAAGCGGUGGCCCUGACGGUGAAGACUGUCGCCCCGCGCCGCCGCCAACCUCAACCUCCCGUCGGUCGCUCUACCGCCUCGCAGCCGUCCGCCGCCGGUGCUCCACCUCCCGACGACCAGUUCAACCACUGCAGUUCGUCACGACUCACCACUACCCGUCCUCUUCCAGGUCACUCGCAGCUGAAGAUGUUUUCUGAACAUGAUGAGGAUCUGAAUGAGAAUGAAGAUGCACUUAUGAGUGUAGAGGCAGAGGCAGAUGCAGAAGCAGCAGCUGCAGAAGCAGGAGAUGAAUCUGUUUUGCAUAGUAUUAUUGAAGAUGAAGAUGCCGAACCAACAGUGGGUUUGCUGCUUGUGUAUUCCAUGGACUGAUGUUGCUUAUUAUCUUGUUUCUUUCUUUGCAUUGAAAUCUUAUUGCUGGACCAUGAAUCAUGAAUCUUCUUAAUUUGUGUCAUAUGAAUAUUGUUACUAGCUCUCAAAUGUAAACAUGUACUUGUACUUUGUUACUUGAUGUUGCAUAUAAACAUGUAUUGUUA